CAGUAGCCACGGGAAUACAGAGGGUGCAAGCGUUAAUCGGAAUUACUGGGCGUAAAGCGCGCGUAGGUGGUUUGUUAAGUUGGAUGUGAAAGCCCCGGGCUCAACCUGGGAACUGCAUCCAAAACUAGCAAGCUAGAGUACGGUAGAGGGUGGUGGAAUUUCCUGUGUAGCGGUGAAAUGCGUAGAUAUAGGAAGGAACACCAGUGGCGAAGGCGACCACCUGGACUGAUACUGACACUGAGGUGCGAAAGCGUGGGGAGCAAACAGGAUUAGAUACCCCAGUAGUCCCUGUCUCUUAUAA
This 301-nucleotide ribosomal RNA is filed under the name uncultured bacterium. Its description in RNAcentral is "partial 16S ribosomal RNA". It matches the Rfam family "Bacterial small subunit ribosomal RNA", at positions 509 to 809 of the family's 1533-position model. The record is from RNAcentral.